AGUGAACGCUGGCGGUAGGCCUAACACAUGCAAGUCGAACGGCAGCACAGUAAGAGCUUGCUCUUACAGGUGGCGAGUGGCGGACGGGUGAGGAAUACAUCGGAAUCUACUUUUUCGUGGGGGAUAACGUAGGGAAACUUACGCUAAUACCGCAUACGACCUACGGGUGAAAGCAGGGGAUCUUCGGACCUUGCGCGAUUGAAUGAGCCGAUGUCGGAUUAGCUAGUUGGCGGGGUAAAGGCCCACCAAGGCGACGAUCCGUAGCUGGUCUGAGAGGAUGAUCGGCCACACUGGAACUGAGACACGGUCCAGACUCCUACGGGAGGCAGCAGUGGGGAAUAUUGGACAAUGGGCGCAAGCCUGAUCCAGCCAUACCGCGUGGGUGAAGAAGGCCUUCGGGUUGUAAAGCCCUUUUGUUGGGAAAGAAAAGCAGCAGGUUAAUACCCCGCUGUUCUGACGGUACCCAAAGAAUAAGCACCGGCUAACUUCGUG
RNAcentral lists this ribosomal RNA (492 nucleotides) under uncultured bacterium. RNAcentral's name for it is "partial 16S ribosomal RNA". It matches the Rfam family "Bacterial small subunit ribosomal RNA", at positions 29 to 507 of the family's 1533-position model. The record is from RNAcentral.